UUUUUCGGACCAAGAGACCGGCGGCACGGGUUGCGUAACGCGUUAAUGCAAUCUACCUUUUUGCAGAGGGGAUUAGCCCAGAGAAAAUUUGGAUUAAUACCUCAUAGUAUAGUACUUUGGCAUCAAGGAACUAUUAAAGUCACAACGGCAAAAGAUGAGCAUGCGUCCCAUUAGCUAGUUGGUAAGGUAACGGCUUACCAAGGCUACGAUGGGUAGGGGUUCUGAGAGGGAGAUCCCCCACACUGGUACUGAGACACGGACCAGACUCCUACGGGAGGCAGCAGUGAGGAAUAUUGGACAAUGGGCGCAAAGCCUGAUCCAGCCAUGCCGCGUGCAGGAUGACGGUCCUAUGGAUUGUAAACUGCUUUUACACAGGAAGAAACAACGCUACGUGUAGCGUCUUGACGGUACUGUGAGAAUAAGGAUCGGCUAACUCCGUG
RNAcentral lists this ribosomal RNA (440 nucleotides) under uncultured bacterium. RNAcentral's name for it is "bacterial SSU rRNA". It matches the Rfam family "Bacterial small subunit ribosomal RNA", at positions 77 to 507 of the family's 1533-position model. The record is from RNAcentral.